AUGUCCGACCACCACCUCGCCGGCGACCACCACUCCUCCGCGGCGAGCACCGCCACCACGGCCCUCGGGACCCUGCUGCUCCUGCCGUCGGAGCUCCUCCACGAGAUCCUCAUCCGCCUCGCGCUCCCGGAGCUGCUCCGCGUCCGCUCCGUCGCCCGUCCCCUGUCCCACCUCAUCUCCUCCCCGGACUUCCGCCGCUUCUACCACCUGUCCUCCGUCUCGUCCGGCCCCGCCCCGGCCGCCGCGUGGCUCCUCGUGUUCAAGAAGCUCCCGCCCCGCGGCGCCGCGCUACGGGGCUUCCACGGGCCGUCCGGCCGCUGGUUCCGCAUCCCCGUCUCGGACAUCAUCUCCCCCGCCGUGCCCCCGGGAGAGGACCUCUACUUCCUCGCCGCCUCCGGCAGCUCCUUCCUGUUCGCCGCCAACGGCCGCCGCGAGCUCGUGGUGGUUGACCUCUCGGCCCAGUCGGCCCGCCGGCUCCCGCCGUCCCCGCUCGGCCCCCGCGGCACCUCGUCCUGGCGUCGCUUCGGCCUCAAGCUCGUGGCCGAUCCCCCCGGAUCAAGCCAGUUUAGGUUUCUCUUCGCCGAGAUGGUGAACAACACGCCCGUUCUCUUCGAGUACCAGUCUGACACCGACGCGUGGCAGUCAUCGGAGGCGGUGCUGGCAAAUGGUCCCGCCGCACCGGCAGGUCCCGACGGGGACGGCACGUACCUGUGCGCUGCCCACGCCGGGCCGGACUGCGUGAUGGUGUACUCAGGCCCGGGCGUCGACAGACCGGUCUUCUUUCGGCCGGGGUUCCCGCACAACCCGAACGCCGGCGGCCACGGUGAUCGGCUCCACGUGUACGGCGACGGCAGCGCCGUGGUGGUCCGAUCAACGGUGAUCGAUGAGCCGAGCCGGACUCGGGUGAAGUUGGUGGCGGGUGUGGACCUGUAUGGGCUCGGGCCGGAGGUCGGGGGUGACUGGCAGCUGGUGUCCACGGUGCCGGGCGAGCUCAUCGAAGGGUUCAGGAAGCCGUACGCCGUGAUGACGGGGCUGCUGGCGGAGAGGGAGGGCGUCUUGAGGCUGGUGCUCAUCUCCAACUGCAGGGGCGCGUGGGACCUCGUGUGGCUGUCGUACGACCGCGCGCGCGGCGAGUGGAGGUGGGUGCCCGUGCCGGACUGGGGCGGCGCCAAGGGCCUCAACAUGGCCGGCAUCGCCGUGUCGUCCACCUUCUCGCGUCUCUGGCCGCCGGCGCCAACCAUCUGCCGCUGA
This 1251-nucleotide ribosomal RNA is filed under the name Triticum aestivum (bread wheat). RNAcentral describes it as "partial small subunit ribosomal RNA". The record is from RNAcentral. Lineage: Eukaryota; Viridiplantae; Streptophyta; Magnoliopsida; Poales; Poaceae.